CUAGGCGAGAAACAUCAGCUUUUGUGCUCCGAAGGUGCUGCUUGGCCUGCAGUGUUCAUCCAGCUUCACUCUUUGUUAUCCAGGACAAUAGACUUCUGUCUCUCGCACUGACUGCAGAACAGAGAGACAGAGCACAGUCUUUUUAUACCGUUUUGGAUAAAGGCAAAUAUGGAUGGAACGACAAGUCCGGGUACAAAGUCCACUUCUCAUUUUUCUUUAACCUACUUGUGUCGGUGUGUGACAUUAUUGUUUUUGUGAUAUCUGUGCUGUAUAUCCACAAAAUAAAUCCAAUCUGAGUCAUGUACAUUCUAA
Molecule: long non-coding RNA, 312 nt
Organism: Stegostoma tigrinum
Lineage: Eukaryota; Metazoa; Chordata; Chondrichthyes; Orectolobiformes; Stegostomatidae
Exons: 2
Source: RefSeq, a predicted model, not a curated record